AUUAAAGCCAUUAAUGGUGCUGUUGAAUGCAAUGGAAAAGAACCUGCCAAAGUUAAAGCUAGAAUUGAUCUCUACACUAAAUAUUGCGGCCAAUUUGGUGUUUCUCCAGGGGGUAAUCUCCAAUGCUGAGAUACUUUUGCAUUGAAGAAGUCAGAAUAAUAAAUGCACGUACGCCAAUCCUGCUAGCUUAGAUGAUAUCCUUAUUUAUGAGUGGGUCGAGUUUGAAUUUUCUUAUUGGUCAAUGGUCAUGUCUUGUACUGACUGAAUUAUUAUGUAAG
Molecule: unclassified non-coding RNA, 278 nt
Filed under: Hevea brasiliensis (rubber tree)
Lineage: Eukaryota; Viridiplantae; Streptophyta; Magnoliopsida; Malpighiales; Euphorbiaceae
Source: RNAcentral